CUGUAACAAGGUUUCCGUAGGUGAACCUGCGGAGGAUCAUUG
Molecule: ribosomal RNA, 42 nt
Filed under: Bupleurum smithii
Lineage: Eukaryota; Viridiplantae; Streptophyta; Magnoliopsida; Apiales; Apiaceae
Description: partial 18S ribosomal RNA
Source: RNAcentral